Molecule: long non-coding RNA, 454 nt
Organism: Malus domestica (apple)
Lineage: Eukaryota; Viridiplantae; Streptophyta; Magnoliopsida; Rosales; Rosaceae
Source: RefSeq, a predicted model, not a curated record
CGAGCGGAUUGCUUUGAUUAUGUGAAAUCUGGAUUGCUUUGAUUAUGUGAAAUCUAGGUUGGUCUUAUGCUGUGAAAGUGCUUGUUCUUCAAUGAUUUCUGCUUCUGGGUAUUUUAUGAUGUAGUUGUACGGAUUUGAUUUCCCCUUUCUGGAUAUUUAUUAUCGGUUGUCGUUGUAUAUUUAUUUCGGUUCUCUUAUGCUGAAAAUUGGUGGACAUUUGGUCCCCUUAAAUUUCUUUCCUUUUCUGCAGCCAAAGGAGAGAACUUUGUGCAAUGGCUUGAUUCAGAAUUCUCAUCCGGUGAUGGUUAUGCAUUAUGAAAGUAAGCAUUUUGACCAGACAAGUAUCAAAAUAGCAUAGUUUUGAGUUUAUUUGUUUAGUGAGCUAUAUUGUAAAUUCCUUUACUUACAAUUGUAUGUAAACAUUGGGAUGAAUGAAUAUGGUAUUAUUCAUGGA